GUGGAUUAGAUACCCUGGUAGUCCACGCCCUAAACGAUGUCAACUAGUUGUCGGGAGAGGAGACUUUCUUGGUAACGCAGCUAACGCGUGAAGUUGACCGCCUGGGGAGUACGGUCGCAAGAUUAAAACUCAAAGGAAUUGACGGGGGCCCGCACAAGCGGUGGAUUAUGUGGAUUAAUUCGAUGCAACGCGAAAAACCUUACCUACCCUUGACAUGCCAGGAACUUUCCAGAGAUCGAUUGGUGCCCGAAAGGGAACCUGGACACAGGUGCUGCAUGGCUGUCGUCAACU
This 291-nucleotide ribosomal RNA is filed under the name uncultured bacterium. RNAcentral describes it as "partial 16S ribosomal RNA". It matches the Rfam family "Bacterial small subunit ribosomal RNA", at positions 773 to 1060 of the family's 1533-position model. The record is from RNAcentral.